CAUUAAGUCUGUUAAAAAUAAAGUAAAAUGGAAUGUAAGAGUUCUACCUUAAAUUCCUAUGCACAUUGGUCCCUCCUACCUGUAGGAUAAGCUUUACCCAAAAAGGAAAAAAAAAGACUAGCUUCUGUCUAGAACAUAUUAGGGACCCGACAUACUCAAAUCUCCUUGUAACAGUUAAAUAUCUGAAGCAGUCCUGCCCUU
Nanorana parkeri is the source of this 201-nucleotide long non-coding RNA. RefSeq lists it as uncharacterized. Lineage: Eukaryota; Metazoa; Chordata; Amphibia; Anura; Dicroglossidae. The transcript has 2 exons. The record is from RefSeq and is a predicted model, not a curated record.